UUGCGGGGAAUCACAUCAUGU
Molecule: microRNA, 21 nt
Filed under: Branchiostoma lanceolatum (amphioxus)
Lineage: Eukaryota; Metazoa; Chordata; Leptocardii; Amphioxiformes; Branchiostomatidae
Description: Bla-Mir-4872-P11b_5p (mature (guide))
Source: RNAcentral